GUAGCGGUGAAAUGCUUAGAGAUUACAUGGAAUACCAAUUGCGAAGGCAGGUUACUACUAAUGGAUUGACGCUGAUGGACGAAAGCGUGGGUAGCGAACAGGAUUAGAUACCCUGGUAGUCCACGCCGUAAACGAUGGAUACUAGCUGUUGGGA
This 154-nucleotide ribosomal RNA is filed under the name uncultured bacterium. Its description in RNAcentral is "partial 16S ribosomal RNA". It matches the Rfam family "Bacterial small subunit ribosomal RNA", at positions 675 to 828 of the family's 1533-position model. The record is from RNAcentral.